This 259-nucleotide ribosomal RNA is filed under the name uncultured prokaryote. Its description in RNAcentral is "partial 16S ribosomal RNA". It matches the Rfam family "Bacterial small subunit ribosomal RNA", at positions 526 to 784 of the family's 1533-position model. The record is from RNAcentral.
CGUAGGUGGCGAGCGUUAUCCGGAAUUAUUGGGCGUAAAGAGCGAGCAGGUGGUUGAUUAAGUCUGAUGUGAAAGCCCACGGCUUAACCGUGGAGGGUCAUUGGAAACUGGUCGACUUGAGUGCAGAAGAGGGAAGUGGAAUUCCAUGUGUAGCGGUGAAAUGCGUAGAGAUAUGGAGGAACACCAGUGGCGAAGGCGGCUUCCUGGUCUGUAACUGACACUGAGGCGCGAAAGCGUGGGGAGCAAACAGGAUUAGAUA